RNAcentral lists this ribosomal RNA (529 nucleotides) under uncultured bacterium. RNAcentral's name for it is "bacterial SSU rRNA". It matches the Rfam family "Bacterial small subunit ribosomal RNA", at positions 777 to 1304 of the family's 1533-position model. The record is from RNAcentral.
AAUAGAUACCCCGGUAGUCCACGCCGUAAACGAUGAGUGCUAAGUGUUAGGGGGUUUCCGCCCCUUAGUGCUGCAGCUAACGCAUUAAGCACUCCGCCUGGGGAGUACGGCCGCAAGGCUGAAACUCAAAGGAAUUGACGGGGGCCCGCACAAGCGGUGGAGCAUGUGGUUUAAUUCGAAGCAACGCGAAGAACCUUACCAGGUCUUGACAUCCUCUGACAACUCUAGAGAUAGAGCGUUCCCCUUCGGGGGACAGAGUGACAGGUGGUGCAUGGUUGUCGUCAGCUCGUGUCGUGAGAUGUUGGGUUAAGUCCCGCAACGAGCGCAACCCUUGAUCUUAGUUGCCAGCAUUCAGUUGGGCACUCUAAGGUGACUGCCGGUGACAAACCGGAGGAAGGUGGGGAUGACGUCAAAUCAUCAUGCCCCUUAUGACCUGGGCUACACACGUGCUACAAUGGACGGUACAAAGAGUCGCAAGACCGCGAGGUGGAGCUAAUCUCAUAAAACCGUUCUCAGUUCGGAUUGCAGG